Molecule: ribosomal RNA, 452 nt
Filed under: uncultured bacterium
Lineage: Bacteria
Description: bacterial SSU rRNA
Rfam family: Bacterial small subunit ribosomal RNA
Source: RNAcentral
UACGAAGGCAGCAGUGGGGAAUAUUGCACAAUGGGCGCAAGCCUGAUGCAGCCAUGCCGCGUGUAUGAAGAAGGCCUUCGGGUUGUAAAGUACUUUCAGUCGUGAGGAAGGUGUUAAGGUUAAUAACCUUAGCAAUUGACGUUAGCGACAGAAGAAGCACCGGCUAACUCCGUGCCAGCAGCCGCGGUAAUACGGAGGGUGCGAGCGUUAAUCGGAAUUACUGGGCGUAAAGGGCACGCAGGCGGUUAAUUAAGUUGGAUGUGAAAUCCCCGGGCUUAACCUGGGAAUGGCAUUCAAGACUGGUUAGCUAGAGUCUUGUAGAGGGGGUAGAAUUCCAUGUGUAGCGGUGAAAUGUGUAGAGAUGUGGAGGAAUACCGGUGGCGAAGGCGGCCCCUGGACAAAGACUGACGCUCAUGUGCGAAAGCGUGGGGAGCAAACAGGGAUUAGAUACC